This 1493-nucleotide ribosomal RNA is filed under the name metagenome. RNAcentral describes it as "SSU rRNA". It matches the Rfam family "Eukaryotic small subunit ribosomal RNA", at positions 304 to 1798 of the family's 1831-position model. The record is from RNAcentral.
CUUCUGCCCUAUCAACCUUCGAUGGUAGUAUAGAGGACUACCAUGGUUAUAACGGGUAACGGGGAAUUAGGGUUCGAUUCCGGAGAGGGGGCCUGAGAAAUGGCCACCACUUCCAAGGAAGGCAGCAGGCGCGCAAAUUACCCAAUCCCAAUACGGGGAGGUAGUGACAAGAAAUACCAAUACAGGCCCAAUGGGACUGUGUUUGGAAUGAGUGUAAUUUAUAAACCUUAUCAAGGAACGAUUGGAGGGCAAGUCUGGUGCCAGCAGCCGCGGUAAUUCCAGCUCCAAUAGUGUAUACUAAAGUUGCUGCAGUUAAAAAGCUCGUAGUUGGAAUUCGGUUAAUGAAUUGAUAGUCUAUAUUUUAUAUAUACGCACUGUUAAUUCAUUUCCUUUUUUUUAGGUUUAACCACUUUUAGUGAUUUUCCUAAAUAUUUUACUUUGAGAAAAUUAGAGUGUUCAAAGCAGGCGUAACUAAGCCUUUGAAUAUAUUAGCAUGGGAUAAUGAAAUAAGACUUUUUGCCUUAUUCUCGUUGGUUCAUAGGGCUAAAGUAAUGAUUAAUAGGGAUAGUUGGGGUCAUUAGUAUUUAAUUGUCAGAGGUGAAAUUCUAAGAUUUAUUAAAGACUAACUACUGCGAAAGCAUUUGACAAGGAUGUUUUCAUUAAUCAAGAACGAAAGUUGGGGGAUCGAAGAUGAUCAGAUACCGUCGUAGUCUCAACCAUAAACUAUGCCGACCAAGGAUUCGGGGGUGUUAAAUGAAUGACUCUCCGGGCACUUAUAGAGAAAUCAUAAGUAUUUGGGUUCCGGGGGGAGUAUGGUCGCAAGGCUGAAACUUAAAGGAAUUGACGGAAGGGCACCACCAGGAGUGGAACUUGCGGUUUAAUUUGACCCAACACGGGGAAACUUACCAGGUCCAGACACAGUAAGGAUUGACAGAUUGAGAGCUCUUUCUUGAUUUUGUGGGUGGUGGUGCAUGGCCGUUUCUAGUUGGUGGAGUGAUUUGUCUGGUUAAUUCCGUUAACGAACGAGACCUUAACCUAUUAAAUAGUAAUACGAACUUGUACUCUUUUGUACAAUUUGUUUGUAAAUGACUUCUUAGAGGGACUCUUCACAUACAGAGUGAAUGGAAGUUUGAGGCAAAAACAGGUCUGUGAUGCCCUUAGAUGUUCUGGGCUACACGCGUGUUACACUGAUAUACUCAACAAGUUAAAACUUUCCUUACCUGGUGAGGUUGGGUAAUCUUUUAAAUGUAUAUCGUGAUGGGGAUUGAUCAUUGUAAUUAUUGAUCAUGAACGAGGAAUUCCUAGUAAGUGCAAGUCAUAAACUUGCGCUGAUUACGUCCCUGCCCUUUGUACACACCGCCCGUCGCUUCUACCGAUGAAUGAUCCGAUGAGGACUUAGGAUGGUCUUGGAUCUUGGUUAUAAAAUGCCAAUCCAUUGUUUAUCAGAAUUCGUUCAAAUCUUAUCAUUUAGAGGAAGGAGAAGUCGUAACAAG